GGCCCAUAGCUCAGUGGUAGAGCACUGGCUUUGCAUGCAGGAAGUCCCACAUUCAAUCCCUGACAUCUCCA
Podarcis lilfordi (Lilford's wall lizard) is the source of this 71-nucleotide non-coding RNA. Lineage: Eukaryota; Metazoa; Chordata; Lepidosauria; Squamata; Lacertidae. The record is from the annotation of a GenBank genome assembly.